Molecule: transfer RNA, 68 nt
Filed under: Marmota monax (woodchuck)
Lineage: Eukaryota; Metazoa; Chordata; Mammalia; Rodentia; Sciuridae
Description: tRNA.Leu
Source: RNAcentral
GGAUAUAGCUCAGCUGGUAGAGUGCUUGCCUCAAAUGAACAAAGCCCUGGGUUCAAUCCCCAGCACCG